AUUGAACGCUAGCGGCAUGCUUUACACAUGCAAGUCGAACGAGUGGCGGACGGGUGAGUAAUAUAUCGGAACGUGCCCGGUAGCGGGGGAUAACUACUCGAAAGGGUGGCUAAUACCGCAUACUAUUGGAGCGGCCGAUAUGGGAUUAGCUAGUUGGUGGGGUAAAGGCUCACCAAGGCCACGAUCCGUAGCUGGUCUGAGAGGACGACCAGCCAGACUGGGACUGAGACACGGCCCAGACUCCUACGGGAGGCAGCAGUGGGGAAUUUUGGACAAUGGGGGAAAGCCUGAUCCAGCCAUCCCGCGUGUAUGAGAAGGCCUUAGGGUUGUAAAGUACUUUUGGCAGAGAAGCGGUAUCUGCAGAAGAAGCACCGGCUAACUACGUGCCAGCAGCCGCGGUAAUAC
Molecule: ribosomal RNA, 405 nt
Filed under: uncultured bacterium
Lineage: Bacteria
Description: partial 16S ribosomal RNA
Rfam family: Bacterial small subunit ribosomal RNA
Source: RNAcentral